RNAcentral lists this ribosomal RNA (446 nucleotides) under uncultured bacterium. Its description in RNAcentral is "partial 16S ribosomal RNA". It matches the Rfam family "Bacterial small subunit ribosomal RNA", at positions 338 to 795 of the family's 1533-position model. The record is from RNAcentral.
CCUACGGGGUGCAGUAGUCGAGAAUCAUUCACAAUGGGGGAAACCCUGAUGGUGCGACGCCGCGUGGGGGAAUGAAGGUCUUCGGAUUGUAAACCCCUGUCAUGUGGGAGCAAAUUAAAAAGAUAGUACCACACGAGGAAGAGACGGCUAACUCUGUGCCAGCAGCCGCGGUAAUACAGAGGUCUCAAGCGUUGUUCGGAAUCACUGGGCGUAAAGCGUGCGUAGGCUGUUUCGUAAGUCGUGUGUGAAAGGCGCGGGCUCAACCCGCGGACGGCACAUGAUACUGCGAGACUAGAGUAAUGGAGGGGGAACCGGAAUUCUCGGUGUAGCAGUGAAAUGCGUAGAUAUCGAGAGGAACACUCGUGGCGAAGGCGGGUUCCUGGACAUUAACUGACGCUGAGGCACGAAGGCCAGGGGAGCGAAAGGGAUUAGAUACCCCAGUAGUC